This 2586-nucleotide long non-coding RNA is filed under the name Bemisia tabaci. RNAcentral's name for it is "lncRNA ENSSSA3NGG012343". The record is from RNAcentral. Lineage: Eukaryota; Metazoa; Arthropoda; Insecta; Hemiptera; Aleyrodidae.
UGGAACCAUGAAGAAUUCAACUUCGACUAUACUGUGUUUUAUACUCCUUUUGGAGUAUAAAGGCCAAUCAUCUCAAUAAAAUGUUCUUAUUUUUCAGAAUCCAAAUGGCUCCUCAAAAGCAAUCCAACCCAAAAACAGACCCUGGCACUAUUGCAGAGAAAAAGACGUUUAACAAAAAGAGUGGCGGCAGAAACAGUACAGUACUAAAUGGAAAGUUCAAAAUUCGAAGAGGAGAAGAGGAAAGCUGCUAUCCAGAAGUACCAUAAGGAACUGAAGAAAGAAAAAAUUCAAUUACCUCAAUCCAAACCUAACACAAGCAGAAACGAGAAAGAAGAAAGACUCACCGCAUAUCAGUUGGCACAAAAGGAGUAUGAAAAGGUCAAAGAAGAACAAAAAAAGCAGAGGGAAGCAGCCAUUAAAAAGAAACAAGAAAUGAAAAAGCCCUCAACAAAUAUAAACAGAAAAAGAUUGAAAAAUACAAGAAACUAAGUAAGAAAACUAAAAAAGGACAACCAGUUAUGAAGUACCGAUUAGAAAUGUUAUUAAAAAAAUCGAAAAGAAUUACAAAAGCUAACAAAAGUGAAUGUUCUCACAAUUUUUUAAUGUUAUCAUAACCUCCAUUGAAGUUUGCAGAAUUCAUUUCUCUUUCUUAUAAUAUCCAAAAAUGAUUAUUUUUUAUGACUCGCUUCUAUCUCACUUCUGGCAGGGGGCUUCAGAGUGUCGUCAACUCCAGGAAAGAGAAUGUCCGGCAAAAUGUAGAGACCCAAGUAGCAAAUUAUAAUUUUUUUCUAGAAAAAAAAAAAAAACUAGAGAAACUUCUAGAAAAUACCAAGAAAAUGAGAGUUAUCUAAAAAGAGAAAGAAAAUACAUUGCGAGUCAAAAGUCUGACCAAAGAAAAUAGAUCUAUUUCAUAUUUCUACUUUCUGUCAACUUUCCAUUUGGAAAAAAGAUAGAAAAUUUAUUGAAAGUAGAAUUAUUUUCUAGCCAAUUUCUUAAUGUUUUCUUUUAAGAAAAUGCAAGGAAAAAAUGUAUUUUCUUUCUAUUUUCUUGUGUCUAUUUUCUAGAUCUACUUUAUACUUACUUUCUUUCAAGAAAAUUGUUCCAUCUAGAAAGUAGACAUUUUCUUGAUGAGCGCCACCUAGAAAGUAGAUGACAAUACUACUUGGGGAGAAAGAAAUAGUCUCUUGUGCUUGAAAGCCAUGUGAAAAUUCAGUAAGUAGGUGUAAGCAGACAUUUUGAGUAUCUUGAACUGAACGUUCUUAAAAUCAAGCGCAUUAUGUAUAUUGCAUACAUUUCCAGUAGCUUGAACUGAAUUUUCUACGGAACAAAAAAUAUCAAAGGUAACACUCCGUAAAUUGUUCUAUCUUGCAAAAAAUUCCGUCUUGUUGAUUUAAUUAUGAAUAUCCAGGCCAUAUUUAGCAGAUUAUCCAUUCACUUAAAAAGGACAAAGCACCACAUUCUAGCCAACCCUGUUGAAAUGAAACUUCUUUUGAUCAGUUAGAGUUACGCAUGUUUAUUAACAUGUUUUCUUUUUAUUUUCACUGCCAAAAUUCAUGUUACUUUACAAGCCAAUAUUUCAUAUAACUGUCUAUAGAGAGCAUUUUGUUUUUAUAAGUAGUAUCAUUACUAGGUGCCCACCUCUUUCCAAUUUUCAAGGAGACAACAUGGAAAUGAUAUUUUUCAGUACCUAUUGAGAUCUAAGUGCAUUGUUUUCCUUUCCAUGUAUAAUGUUCUUUGUUAUGAUUGGAGCAUCGCAAUAAAAUAUUUCAGUGAACAACUCAUUGCUUGUUUUAAUGUGUCUCAUUACAUCUUUGACCAUUCACUCAAAACGUAUCUUUGCAAAAUAUCCCUGCCAAAAAUAGAUGAUAAAGCAGCUCAAUAACUUGUAUAAAUGUUGCGCUCAAGGAGCAGUCGGUACGUAAUAUUUUGACUUUUUUCCGGCAGUUUUCCAUUUUUGUUCCAAAUGUAUAUACCUAUCUUAAUUGCACCAUCAGGCCCGUACCCAUGGGUUCAUCAGUCUUAAAAUCAUUAAUUUGCUUACUUUUAAAAUGAAAACUUGUCAGAAAUGUCCCUUGGGGCAGGAAAUGAUGAAUGGUGGCACUCCAUUCUCCGUCAAAUCUUCCGUCAAAUUUUGACAUUGACGUAUAAUGAAUUUUGAUCAAAGAGGACUGUUGCAUAAGAACUAGGAACUAGGGCACGAUGAUUUUUAAAUUGAAGAAAGUUUCGCGGUAUCAGUGUUGCCUUUCUUCCAAAUUGACACGCAUUUCAAUGAAAUAAAACCUAAAACAAUGAGCCUGGAUUUCGUGGACAUUAGAUAUUAACUUUCAAAUUGAUCGUUUAAGAAUGAGUUAAUCUAUUUUGUACUUUCUGAAAACUUUGUAUCAGCCUUUACCUUUGAUUUUCAUUAAUUUUAUCCAAAGACAUCUCAAAACGAGUUCUUUUCAAGCUAACGUCGACGGACACCUGGUAACUUUCAUGACGUCACCUUGAAAAGUCACGUGAUCGCUGUCAUCUGUGAGAAAGAUCAACAAAACAGGCUCGCUGAAGCCCAUCCCAUCCUGAGAUUGUGGACGUUUUGUUAAUUUU